This 98-nucleotide microRNA precursor is filed under the name Selaginella moellendorffii. RNAcentral's name for it is "miR1110 stem-loop (smo-MIR1110)". Lineage: Eukaryota; Viridiplantae; Streptophyta; Lycopodiopsida; Selaginellales; Selaginellaceae. The record is from miRBase by way of RNAcentral.
CAACACAGGGUUGCUAGGGGCAGUGGUCAAGGAUCUGGGGGCCCAUGUACUGCCUUCCAUGGGCUCCUAGGUCCUUGAGCGCUGCCCCCAGCAACCCU